UGUACCUUUAACUCAGUCCUGUGAGGCUGGCAAGGUAGCGUGAAUAGUUGAUUAAUUAAGCUGGGGACAAGAAACUCCUCAUCUUCCGCAACUCAUAAGGUUGGCGGGGAUGGAUGGAAUCCUUAGCGGUUAAUCAUGGGCUCCUUGCGAAUACGCAAGGAGUCUUUUUUCA
Paenibacillus sp. Leaf72 is the source of this 172-nucleotide regulatory RNA element. It matches the Rfam family "PyrR binding site". Rfam says of the family: This family represents the PyrR binding site and terminator structure. This RNA structure is found upstream of a variety of genes involved in pyrimidine biosynthesis and transport. The alignment also includes a portion of the antiterminator structure. NCBI's taxonomy places the organism in Bacteria, Bacillati, Bacillota, Bacilli, Caryophanales, Paenibacillaceae. The record is from Rfam.